Molecule: ribosomal RNA, 497 nt
Filed under: uncultured bacterium
Lineage: Bacteria
Description: partial 16S ribosomal RNA
Rfam family: Bacterial small subunit ribosomal RNA
Source: RNAcentral
GAUGAACGCUGGCGGCGUGCCUAAUACAUGCAAGUCGAGCGAACAGACGAGGAGCUUGCUCCUCUGACGUUAGCGGCGGACGGGUGAGUAACACGUGGAUAACCUACCUAUAAGACUGGGAUAACUUCGGGAAACCGGAGCUAAUACCGGAUAAUAUAUUGAACCGCAUGGUUCAAUAGUGAAAGACGGUUUUGCUGUCACUUAUAGAUGGAUCCGCGCCGCAUUAGCUAGUUGGUAAGGUAACGGCUUACCAAGGCAACGAUGCGUAGCCGACCUGAGAGGGGGAUCGGCGACACGGGAAGUGAGACACGGUCCAGACUCCUACGGGAGGCAGCAGUAGGGAAUCGUCCGCAAUGGGCGAAAGCCUGACGGAGCAACGCCGCGUGAGUGAUGAAGGUCUUCGGAGCGUAAAACUCUGUUAUUAGGGAAGAACAAAUGUGUAAGUAACUAUGCACGUCUUGACGGUACCGAAUCAGAAAGCCACGGCUAACUACGUG